This is a non-coding RNA of Streptococcus phocae, 63 nucleotides long. Lineage: Bacteria; Bacillati; Bacillota; Bacilli; Lactobacillales; Streptococcaceae. The record is from Rfam.
GUAGGAAUAAAUCCUUUUCUAGUGAAGUGUCGCAACUCUACUAUACAGGUUUUAUUCCUUUUU